AUACGGAGGGGGCUAGCGUUGUUCGGAAUCACUGGGCGUAAAGCGCGCGUAGGCGGAUACUUAAGUCAGGGGUGAAAUCCCGAGGCUCAACCUCGGAACUGCCCUUGAUACUGGGUAUCUUGAGUUCGAGAGAGGUAAGUGGAAUUCCGAGUGUAGAGGUGAAAUUCGUAGAUAUUCGGAGGAACACCAGAGGCGAAGGCGGCUUACUGGCUCGAUACUGACGCUGAGGCGCGAAAGCGUGGGGAGCAAACAGGAUUAGAUACCCCGGUAGUCC
RNAcentral lists this ribosomal RNA (274 nucleotides) under uncultured bacterium. RNAcentral's name for it is "partial 16S ribosomal RNA". It matches the Rfam family "Bacterial small subunit ribosomal RNA", at positions 523 to 796 of the family's 1533-position model. The record is from RNAcentral.